Molecule: ribosomal RNA, 425 nt
Filed under: uncultured bacterium
Lineage: Bacteria
Description: bacterial SSU rRNA
Rfam family: Bacterial small subunit ribosomal RNA
Source: RNAcentral
GUUAGGAAUUUUGCACAAUGGGGGAAACCCUGAUGCAGCAACGCCGCGUGGACGAUGAAGGCCUUCGGGUCGUAAAGUCCUUUUCAGAGGGAAGACCUCGACGGUACCUCUGGAAUAAGCCUCGGCUAACUACGUGCCAGCAGCCGCGGUAAUACGUAGGAGGCGAGCGUUAUCCGGAUUUACUGGGCGUAAAGAGCGCGUAGGCGGUUCCGUAAGUUGGGCGUGAAAGCCCCCGGCUUAACUGGGGAGGGUCGUUCAAUACUGCGGGACUUGAGGGCGGAGGAGGAGACUGGAAUUCCCGGUGUAGUGGUGAAAUGCGUAGAUAUCGGGAGGAACACCCGUGGCGAAGGCGAGUCUCUGAGCCGUUCCUGACGCUGAGGCGCGAAAGCGUGGGGAGCGAACGGAAUUAGAUACCCCAGUAGUCC